Molecule: ribosomal RNA, 292 nt
Filed under: uncultured bacterium
Lineage: Bacteria
Description: partial 16S ribosomal RNA
Rfam family: Bacterial small subunit ribosomal RNA
Source: RNAcentral
GUGCCAGCAGCCGCGGUAAGACGGAGGGUGCUAGCGUUGUUCGGAAUCACUGGGCGUAAAGGGCGCGUAGGCGGCCUUGUCAGUCGGGCGUGAAAGCCCGGGGCUCAACCCCGGAACGGCGCCCGAGACGGGAAGGCUGGAGACCGGGAGAGGAGGGUGGAAUAGCCAGUGUAGAGGUGAAAUUCGUAGAUAUUGGCUGGAACACCGGUGGCGAAAGCGGCUCUCUGGCCCGGGUCUGACGCUGAGGCGCGAAAGCGUGGGGAGCAAACAGGAUUAGAAACCCCGGUAGUCC